Long non-coding RNA from Ahaetulla prasina, 964 nucleotides. RefSeq lists it as uncharacterized. The record is from RefSeq and is a predicted model, not a curated record. Lineage: Eukaryota; Metazoa; Chordata; Lepidosauria; Squamata; Colubridae. The transcript is spliced from 2 exons.
GCCACUGCACAGGUCUCCUUCCCCAGCUCAGGCUUUCCUCAGCCGCACCCGAAGGGGCCGGUCCGUCUGAGGGAAGGCGCUUGACCCAAAGGGCGGCCACCCAGCAGCCCCGCUUCUACGCCUGCCUGCCUUUCGCUGCUCCUGUCGCCGCUGCGCGUGCGCGUGCCAUUCGGAAGGGCAACUGUUCCUGUACAACUCCAAGACUUCAGCAAAAGAAGGCAACAAUGGCAACUGUCCAUGAAAGAGUGGCUGAUUUCCGUCCAGAGCACAAGGGUCUGAUGCUGUGUUUUGCUUUCAGGAAAAAAAAAAGAUUUCUGCAUUGAAAUCUCUGCCUGACAGCCAAGAGAGGAUUUCUGUCGGACCAGACAGCGUGUGCCAAGGGCUGGAACAGCAGGAACUUAGCAGAUGGGCUUCACAGACAACUGGCACCACACCACCGCUCCAUGCCCUAGUAGGCACCAGCCCUUUCGUGGAAGCUAAAUUUUUAAUUCUGAAAUUUAAAAGAACAAGCAAAUGUCCUGGGGGUUUCAAGCUGCUUCUUGAUUGAGAGCGGGCAGACACAGCGGCUGUCAAACCAAAGUAAACAGCGCCUCUUUGCUUGCCUAAUUAAGAGCACCAAUCUUUACCUCUUCAAACCAGUCAGCAGUCUCAAUUUCCCAAGGUCUUCAAGUGCUCUUCUGGUUUUUAAAGGGCUAUUCAUCACGGCCAGCCAAUUUUUUUUUCAUCCCAAGAAGCAAGCAAAAUGGGAAAAGAGCAAAAACAUGGAUGGAGGCUCAGACACAAUGAAACAGCCCACACUCUGGAUGUGCCAGUGUGACUGCAGGACCUGAGUGCAGUCCUGUCAUCCGGAUUUUUUUUUUUCGUCAGCCAGCUGGCUUUUGUUUUUGAAAAGGCUUCUGCUGUCCACGAUCUUGUGUCUUUCACACGGUUGUGUGGCAAGUAAAAAUUCACCAAGUAAAACAUU